Mytilus trossulus (common blue mussel) is the source of this 269-nucleotide long non-coding RNA. RefSeq lists it as uncharacterized. The transcript is spliced from 2 exons. The record is from RefSeq and is a predicted model, not a curated record. NCBI's taxonomy places the organism in Eukaryota, Metazoa, Mollusca, Bivalvia, Mytilida, Mytilidae.
CUUUCCGGACUUGACACUUUUUAAGACGUAAGACUGUUCCCAAGAGGGACAAUUAAAAUCAAAUCCUUGAAUUGAUCCAGUUCUGAUAUGUCACCCCAAUGAACUUUAAUUAGAUUGCAAGAGGGAAAGUUUUCUCUACUGAACAUGGUUUUGAAUGAUAGAAUCCUGCAGCAGGCUGGUAUUUGUGAUUUAAGUAUGUUGUUUUGCUGGUAGAAAAAACAGUUGAACAAAUAGAAGAGAUCCAAGAAAAAAUAAAUGUUUGCAUGAUA